Molecule: long non-coding RNA, 4110 nt
Organism: Oreochromis aureus
Lineage: Eukaryota; Metazoa; Chordata; Actinopteri; Cichliformes; Cichlidae
Source: Ensembl
CCCCACUCUUAAGUGCAUUAAGAGCAAUUAUAUCCAGUUAGCUGGAGAGCAAAUAUACAGAUGUACUAUGGGCAAAUGUAUGUAUAUGCUGGUAUAUACAGACAUGGGUAGUAUAAAUGGCUGAAUAGUUAUAAACAGAUUAUGUGCAGAAAGACCAAAUAUACAGGUUUUUUUGGUCUUGGAGUGCAGGCACGAUGCAAUUACUGCUGUUUUCUCCACCUGUAGACGCACCUGCCCCACAUACUGUACCUCCCUCCGUCCAGACUUCUUUCGGUUGAAUACAAUGUCACAAAAAAUUGAGCUGUGCCUAACCGGUCCAGGAGCUCGUCGACCCGGGGCAUGGGGUACGCAUCAAACCAUGACACUUCGUUCACCUUGCGGUAGUUGACACAGAACUGUAUAGACCCAUCAUUCUUCACAACCAGAACUAUGGGGCUACACCUCACCCUGUGCGAUUCUUUUAUCACUCCUGUUUUCAGCAUUUUAGUCAAUUCUUUCAAAACAAUUUGUCUCUUAUGUUCAGGUAACCUGUAGGGCCGUGAACAAUACCGUCACACCAGGCUGCGUUUCAAAAUGAUGCUCUAUGAGAGUCGUACUGCAGCAACAUCUACUCUCUGGGCCUAUGUGCAAUUUGGCACCUCUUUGUCCCAACUUAUCUCUUUCUUUAACCAUCCUCACCAGAGAAGCAGGAGGUUGAGGUGAUAAAUCUGAUUGGCGCCUUCCUGUCCGACCAUAUCACUUCAUAGUCCAUGUCCCCCACUCACCCUGUUGUACAGGCGCUGCUGAUGCACUGUAAAAUGUAAUAUUGUGUUUAAUUAAAAAUAUUAAAUAGGCUGAACUCAAUUUUUAUCAAUUUGUUAUUAGAACUCAAUUUAAAUAAGUUACCAGUACUUUUUAUGCAAAAACGCUGAUAAACUCCAUUUAUUUGAGUUGUCUUAACUUAGAAAAACUAAGUAAGCUGGAAGUUUUGCUUCUCAGUGCGGAAGGAUGAAAGAUGUGUUUUGAAAAUGCCACGUGACUACCGUCCUCCUCCCUCUCGGAUCAGUCCGCAUGUUCACGGUGCAUUUUUUAUGGAAUAUGUUGAGCAAACCUGGAGAAGCGUCAGCUCAAGAUUAUUGUUGUCAUUGCUGUGGAUCUUUACCUGAUACACUGACUUGGCCGAUCGGGACCAGCACUCCUGCUGUUGGACAGAAAGACAUCAACUUGAGAUAUGACUGCACGAUGCUGUUGCUGGUGACCACAGUUAAUUCUACAAGACAUGCUGUGACACCAGGAGAGAUGAGUCCUCCGUCACAGAUGGUGUGGUCAGUGAAGAUGGUCGUCUGCAGGUUCAAGCUCAUUGCAUCUCCAACCCACAUCCACUGCUACUGUACUUAAGGGAAGUUAAAGACUUUCUUCUGCACCUACAUUUGGAUCACCUCGAUCCAUGACAGUCAUUCAGGCAGUGAUGCCUGGACUGGAAACAAGCCAUCCUUCAAAUAAUACAACAUUCCAGCUCAUGUGUUGGAAUGGAAAACAAAUGUGUUGUUUAAAUUAGAGACUGCACUUGUGACAGAACAACAAAUAUUUUAUUUUGAUUAUAUAAGUAAUGUAAGUACAAAACAAACUUGUGGUAGGCCUAAACUUAUUUUCAGAAUAAUUACAUCUGAGACUUUGCUUCGUUGUAAGAUUAUAACAGUGAUGGCCUAACCCUAACCCAGUAUGUUGGCUGUUAUACUUUGUUGUGUUUGAAAAUAAAUGUUGGGCUGAUUUUAACAUCAUUACAAAAAUUGUUGUUAAUUAUUUUUAAUCAUAUUCAGGUUACCACAAAUUGUUUUUUCAUUUAGUUGAACUUAACAUGUUUGUCAGUAGGUAAACAAUUAGUAUUGUACAGUCAGAAAUAUCAAGUUAUUGUUAAUACUGCAGACUUGCAAUGUAUAAGUUGUCCUAACAGUCAUCCUAAGUAAGCUUUACUUAGUUUUUUUGAGGCAACGAGUUUCCAUAAUUUUUUUGAGUUCUGGGAACUAACAAGGCUGUACAGUGUACUCAAAAUGAGUAAGUUGCCCUAACUUGGUCAUCUUACGUAAACUUUAUCCAAUUUUUUUGAGUUCUGGGAACAAAUGAGCUUGUACAGAGCACUCAAAGUAAAUAAGUUGAUCUAACUUAGUCAUUUUUAGCUAAGCUUUACUCAAUUUUUUUGAGGCAACGAGUUUCCACAGUGUGGGCCUGGAGCAAAUUCUCUCCCAACGUGUGCUGUGCAGCUUUGCUCUCAGAUCCCGGACAUACUGAAUCUUGUUUUUAGUCGGGUGCGGAUCUUGCUCCCAGUUUUCUUUAAGGCCAAGCCCCCGGCUUCCUGCCAAAUAGUAACUGAAAGGGAGAAAAUCCCGUGGAACCUGGGGUACCUUCGGCACUUCAAACAACAGAAGAUCUGAUUCAGCCGUUCCACCUGCCCGUCAGUCUGACGGUGGUAGGCUGCCCCGAACAAGUUCGUACAGUUCUAUUAAUGUGCAAGACAUGAACGACGUGUCCUGGUCAGUCUCUUUUGUGAUGCUGACUUGGGAGAUGACCUGAAACGGCGCCUGCGCCACUCUUUGCAUAAUCCACCAGAACUAAUACAAAUUCAAUUCAAUUCAAUUCAAUUCAAUUUCUUUAUUGUCCCACAAGGGGAAAUUAGUUUAGCAGCAGGAUAAAAAUAAACAGAACAAUACUAUAAAAGAAUAAUGACAAUAAUAGUGAUAGGAAGUCCAAGGACAGUUAUUUGCCAUUAAGGAGACAAGAUGCAGUAGGGAUGAGAAGUGUAACCCAUGGUUAUUUUAUUGCAGAUGGUAUUUAAUUUUUAUUUUAGAAGUGUGACUUUUCUGUUAAGUAUUGAGUUUUCCCAUGUACCGUGAAUGCACCAUAGCGCUGCUAACGGUAACUUUCUUUCACUGCACCCGCCUGCACAGAGAAAGAUGCAAAAAGCUGUUGUGAAAGGUUCAGUCCUGUAACGUGUUGAGUUAAUGUGUUCUGUGAAGAAUAUACUGGCUGUUUUUUUUAUGUGGUGGAAAUCUGCUGUGAAUUAUUGUGGUGAGCUACAUGUUUGCAAUAAUUCAAAUGGUUUUGGUUCAUGUCUUUUUUUGGACAAUUUAAAUGUGUGAAUACACUCAAAUCACUUUUCUCCUUUAAGUCAUUGUCAGUGUCUCAUUUUGAGUGGAGUUUUUUUCUUCUCUAAGUUACCACUGUCUCCUUACGAUCCUAACUGAACCCAACAAGAGUAGAUUCCAGAUAUUUGGUUUUUAUUCGACUUAGAUGACAGAUUACUGUGUAUUUGAUCAAUUCAGACUACUCGGUUAAAAAGGGUGACAAAAGCAAUGCACUCCACUGAAAUGGCCCGAUGAAGUCCAUGCCAAUGCACUCAAACGGGAUCUCCAUUAACGGCAGUAGGCACAAAGGUGCAUUUGGGAUGACUGGCUGGUUAACCAGCUGACAUUCCGGGCAGGACUUACACACGUACUUGGUGACGCUUUGGCAUGAUGGCACCUGUGUCUGGCUUUGCCGCUGUUGCAGUUUGUCCUUCUCUCUUGUUGUGCUGUUUUUCUCUCCUCUGCUGUUUUCACUUUGCAUCAAUGAUGUACUUUCUUGGUUUAUGAUCGUCUGCCGCUGUUAUCCAUCCAAUCUUCAAUGAUGGGUCACGAUGUCUCAUCCUGCUGUUUUGGCAUUUUCCAACCUCCGCCUGUCGCUGGAUCGUUGUCAGGCGACCUCAGCGGUCCCCUCAGACCACGGAGAAGAUGAGAGAGAAGAACAGGUGUCCAGUUGAAGCUCAGGCUGGGGUGACCGUAUUUCGAUUUCCAAAAAAGAGGACAGGUGGUCGAUUCAUGAUAACCUUCAAUGAUACUGUUUGCUCAAAGAACAUUUUAACAUGUUUAAAAAAGGUCUUCUCUGUGCAGUUAAUGAAUGGUGAAAUGAAAAAUUUCAACGAUUCAAGGAGCUUUAUUGUCAUUCGCAUCACAUGUUAACAUGAGGUGGAACCAUUUUUUUUUUUAAGUAAUAAACAAUACAAUAAGUAAUACGAUAAGUAGAGUGCAACAACAUGAGUACCAGUAUAGAGUGUGGGUAUAAAUAUAGGUGUAAAUAAAUACUUUAGCAGCAAAG